AUUGUGUGCCAUAUAGAUUGGUUGUUCUCUUAACUAAGGAGUAUGAUGAUAUUGGUAUGGUAUACAGAUGAGAUGUAGGAGUACAUCGUCACUAAAUAAGUAACUCACCUACGGAGCGCUCUGCUGUCAAGAGUAGCUCACAAAGCAUAUGGGCAUAAGUAUCCCUCAGAUCUGAGAUCACCAUAGUGACUUACAAGCAACUUGCUGUGCUUUGAUGUCAGACUAUCUACAUUUCUAAUGCAGUGAUGGAAGGCUAUUGGGUGCGGUCAAGUAGUUACGAAGUCUGUGUAUGGAUCAAGAUGGGAUUGAUCCCUCCAAAUUAUCGAAGUUAAUGUAUCACUGUAUUUUAAUUUAUUAAACCUUGGGUCUAGAUAAUCCAUGUGAUG
RNAcentral lists this long non-coding RNA (386 nucleotides) under Elaeis guineensis (African oil palm). RNAcentral describes it as "long non-coding RNA (EGUI_LNC066943)". Lineage: Eukaryota; Viridiplantae; Streptophyta; Magnoliopsida; Arecales; Arecaceae. The record is from RNAcentral.